RNAcentral lists this ribosomal RNA (466 nucleotides) under uncultured bacterium. RNAcentral's name for it is "partial 16S ribosomal RNA". It matches the Rfam family "Bacterial small subunit ribosomal RNA", at positions 29 to 507 of the family's 1533-position model. The record is from RNAcentral.
ACGCACGCUGGCGGCGUGCUUAACACAUGCCAGUCGCACGGAAAGGCCCUGCUUUUGUGGGGUGCUCGAGUGGCGAACGGGUGAGUAACACGUGAGUAACCUGCCCUUGACUUUGGGAUAACUUCAGGAAACUGGGGCUAAUACCGGAUAGGAGCUCCUGCUGCAUGGUGGGGUUGGAAAGUUUCGGCGGUUGGGGAUGGACUCGCGGCUUAUCAGCUUGUUGGUGGGGUAGUGGCUUACCAAGGCUUUGACGGGUAGCCGGCCUGAGAGGGUGACCGGCCACAUUGGGACUGAGAUACGGCCCAGACUCCUACGGGAGGCAGCAGUGGGGAAUAUUGCACAAUGGGCGGAAGCCUGAUGCAGCAACGCCGCGUGCGGGAUGACGGCCUUCGGGUUGUAAACCGCUUUCGCCUGUGACGAAGCGUGAGUGACGGUAAUGGGUAAAGAAGCACCGGCUAACUACGUG